AAGUCGUAACAAGGUAACCGUAGGUGAACCUGCGGUUGGAUCAUUAACAAAAUACUUGCCCUUGCGCUUUCCCCUGGGAUUGAGCAAGAGUAAAGACCCCAUUUGUGAACCUGUAUAGUGCCUUUCGGGGCCAUUUUCAACAAGAUUUUUUUAUUGUACAACACAAAAAGUUAAUUAAAAAACAACUUUUGGCAACGGAUCUCUAGGCUCUU
RNAcentral lists this unclassified non-coding RNA (212 nucleotides) under fungal sp. RNAcentral describes it as "partial internal transcribed spacer region". The stretch from base 1 to 46 matches the Rfam family "Eukaryotic small subunit ribosomal RNA", at positions 1786 to 1831 of the family's 1831-position model. The record is from RNAcentral. Lineage: Eukaryota; Fungi.